ACCUUCAAGCUCGUCGGAUGGUUCUACUUCUGAAGUUUCUCAAUGGCGAUUCAAUGAUUAUGAACGUAAAUUUUAGAAGAUCAAUCACCGACUUGCUCAGCUCCAAGUGAAAGGUCGAAAGUCCUCCAACAAUUAUGACUUCCACACCGCUCAACCCCUUUCUCAGCACAUCAUGGACCAACCCAUCCCAUCUCAAUUCAAGAUGCCUCAG
Molecule: long non-coding RNA, 211 nt
Filed under: Elaeis guineensis (African oil palm)
Lineage: Eukaryota; Viridiplantae; Streptophyta; Magnoliopsida; Arecales; Arecaceae
Description: long non-coding RNA (EGUI_LNC030057)
Source: RNAcentral